ACGGGGGGGGGCAAGCGUUGUUCGGAAUUACUGGGCGUAAAGGGCGCGUAGGCGGUUCGCUAAGUUGAAUGUGAAAACUCUGGGCUUAACCCAGAGCCUGCAUUCAAUACUGGCGGGCUAGAGUUCUGGAGGGGAUAGCGGAAUUCCUGGUGUAGCGGUGAAAUGCGUAGAUAUCAGGAGGAACACCGGUGGCGAAGGCGGCUAUCUGGACCGGCAUUGACGCUGAGGCGCGAAAGCUAGGGGAGCAAACGGGA
Molecule: ribosomal RNA, 254 nt
Filed under: uncultured prokaryote
Description: partial 16S ribosomal RNA
Rfam family: Bacterial small subunit ribosomal RNA
Source: RNAcentral